RNAcentral lists this ribosomal RNA (276 nucleotides) under Triticum aestivum (bread wheat). Its description in RNAcentral is "partial small subunit ribosomal RNA". Lineage: Eukaryota; Viridiplantae; Streptophyta; Magnoliopsida; Poales; Poaceae. The record is from RNAcentral.
AUGAUUGAGGUAGACUGCAUGGAGCUUGUCGACCUUUGGAAUUCGCGCAGCAACACGCGAUCGGUUGCCGCGCCUAUCUUGAAGAAUUUGGAGGAGUUAGUAGCUAGUUUUGUUUCGUUUUCGGUUACACAUGUUGGGAGAGCCUGUAAUAUUCACGUUGAUCGGUGUGCUAAGCUAGCUUGUACACUAGAUGAGACUGAUAGUUGGAUCUCUGCGAGUCCAGAUUUCCUAGUAGACUGCCUUCGAGCAGAUUGUAACCGCUUGAUUCUGAAGUAA